This 1953-nucleotide ribosomal RNA is filed under the name human gut metagenome. RNAcentral's name for it is "bacterial LSU rRNA". It matches the Rfam family "Bacterial large subunit ribosomal RNA", at positions 3 to 1989 of the family's 2925-position model. The record is from RNAcentral.
UCAAGCUAAAAAGAGCGCAGGGUGGAUGCCUUGGCACUAAGAGCCGAUGAAAGACGUGAUAAGCUGCGAUAAGCUACGGGGAGGAGCACAUAUCCAUUGAUCCGUAGAUUUCUGAAUGGGGAAACCCGGCUGAGCAUACCUCAGUCACCGUGCACUGAAUCCAUAGGUGUACGGAGGGAACCCGGUGAACUGAAACAUCUAAGUAGCCGGAGGAAGAGAAAGAAAACUCGAUUUUCAAAGUAGCGGCGAGCGAAAUGGAAAGAGCCCAAACCGGAGUGCGUGCACUCCGGGGUUCGGACUGCAUUUAUGACUUCUGACUGUAGCGGAACGGUUCUGGAAAGACCGGCCAGAGAGGGUGAGAGCCCCGUAGGCGAAACGGAAAGAAGCAGAGCAGGAUCCAGAGUACCACGAGACACGAGAAACCUUGUGGGAAUGAGCGGGGACCACCCCGUAAGGCUAAAUACUCCUUAGUGACCGAUAGAGCAGAGUACUGUGAAGGAAAGGUGAAAAGGACCCCGGGAGGGGAGUGAAAGAGAACCUGAAACCCUGUGUUUACAAACUGUGGAAGUACCAUACGAGUACAACCGCGUACUUUUUGUAGAACGGUCCGGCGAGUUACGUUUACUGGCGAGGUUAAGCACUUAAGGUGCGGAGCCGAAGGGAUACCAAGUCUUAACAGGGCGUAAAGUCAGUGUACGUAGACCCGAAACCGGGUGAUCUACCCAUGUCCAGGCUGAAGUUGCCGUAAAAGGCAAUGGAGGGCCGAACGCACAUCCGUUGAAAAGGGUGGCGAUGAGGUGUGGGUAGGGGAGAAAUUCCAAUCGAACCCGGAGAUAGCUGGUUCUCCUCGAAAUAGCUUUAGGGCUAGCCUCGUUUUAGUCUUAUGGAGGUAGAGCACUGAAUUUCCGCGGGGGCGUCAAAGCUUACCAAAGAAUAUCAAACUCCGAAUGCCAUGUAGAUGAUGAACGGGAGUCAGACUGCACGAGAUAAGUUGGGCAGUCAAAAGGGAAAGAGCCCAGACCGCCAGCCAAGGUCCCAAAGUGUGUGUUAAGUGGAAAAGGAUGUGGGAUCUCCAAGACAACUAGGAUGUUGGCUCAGAAGCAGCCACACAUUCAAAGAGUGCGUAACAGCUCACUAGUCGAGAGGUCCUGCGCCGAAAAUGUCCGGGGCUGAAACACAACACCGAAGCUGCGGAAUUGCGAAUGCAAUUGGUAGAGGAGCAUUCUUAAUGCCGACGAAGCUGUACCGGAAGGAGCAGUGGAGGGAUAAGAAGAGAGAAUGCCGGAAUGAGUAGCGAGAGAGAGGUGGGAAUCCUCUCGGCCGAAUAUCCAAGGUUUCCAGAGUAAAGCUGAUCUGCUCUGGGUAAGUCGGGGCCUAAGGCGAGGUCAAGAGACGUAGCCGAUGGACAACAGGUUUAGAUUCCUGUACCGCAUAUAAACAGAACUGUGGGGACGCAUGGGGAGAGCAUGGGCCGGGAAUGGAAAUACCGGUGCAAGCGAAGGAGGUGUGCAGCCGGCAAAUCCGCUGCAUGAGCCGAAAGCGUGACGCGGAGCGAAAUGAAAGUAGCGAAGCAUGUGAGCCCUGUGCCGAGAAAAGCCGCUAUAGCUUUAUAUGUGCCCGUACCGUAAACCGACACAGGUGGAUGAGGAGAGAAUCCUAAGGCCGGCGGAAGAAGUAUUGUUAAGGAACUCGGCAAAAUGACCCCGUAACUUCGGGAGAAGGGGUGCCCAUGAAAGUGGGCCGCAGAGAAUAGGCUCAAGCAACUGUUUAGCAAAAACACAGGUCUAUGCGAAACCGAAAGGUGAAGUAUAUGGGCUGACGCCUGCCCGGUGCUGGAAGGUUAAGAGGAGAGGUUAGCGCAAGCGAAGCUUUGAAUUUAAGCCCCAGUAAACGGCGGCCGUAACUAUAACGGUCCUAAGGUAGCGAAAUUCCUUGUCGGGUAAGUUCCGACCC